GAAGCGGCAAAAGCUCAAAUUUGAAAUCUGGCGUCUUUGGCGUCCGAGUUGUAAUUUGAAGAAGGUAUCUUUGGGCCCGGCUCUUGUCUAUGUUCCUUGGAACAGGACGUCACAGAGGGUGAGAAUCCCGUGCGAUGAGAUGACCCGGGUCUGUGUAAAGUUCCUUCGACGAGUCGAGUUGUUUGGGAAUGCAGCUCUAAGUGGGUGGUAAAUUCCAUCUAAAGCUAAAUAUUGGCGAGAGACCGAUAGCGAACAAGUACAGUGAUGGAAAGAUGAAAAGAACUUUGAAAAGAGAGUGAAAAAGUACGUGAAAUUGUUGAAAGGGAAGGGCUUGAGAUCAGACUUGGUAUUUUGCAUGCUGCUCUCUCGGGGGCGGCCGCUGCGGUUUACCGGGCCAGCAUCGGUUUGGAGCGGCAGGAUAAUGGCGGAGGAAUGUGGCACGGCUUCUGCUGUGUGUUAUAGCCUCUGACGAUACUGCCAGCCUAGACCGAGGACUGCGGUUUUUAACCUAGGAUGUUGGCAUAAUGAUCUUAAGUCGCCCGUCUUGAAACACGGACCAAGGAGUCUAACGUCUAUGCGAGUGUUUGGGUGUAAAACCCGUACGCGUAAUGAAAGUGAACGAAGGUGGGGGCCCAUUAGGGUGCACCAUCGACCGAUCCUGAUGUGUUCGGAUGGAUUUGAGUAAGAGCAUAGCUGUUGGGACCCGAAAGAUGGUGAACUAUGCCUGAAUAGGGUGAAGCCAGAGGAAACUCU
RNAcentral lists this ribosomal RNA (753 nucleotides) under Candida albicans. RNAcentral's name for it is "LSU rRNA". It matches the Rfam family "Eukaryotic large subunit ribosomal RNA", at positions 95 to 865 of the family's 3401-position model. Lineage: Eukaryota; Fungi; Ascomycota; Pichiomycetes; Serinales; Debaryomycetaceae. The record is from RNAcentral.